GCCGGGCGCAGUGAUGUACACCUGUCAUCCCAGUGGCUCAGGAGGUGAGGCAGGAGGAUCCUGAGUUCAAGGCCAGCCUCAGCAAUUUAGUGAGGCCCUAAGCAACUCAGGGAGACCCUGUCUCUA
Molecule: small RNA, 126 nt
Filed under: Marmota monax (woodchuck)
Lineage: Eukaryota; Metazoa; Chordata; Mammalia; Rodentia; Sciuridae
Source: RNAcentral